This 180-nucleotide ribosomal RNA is filed under the name uncultured bacterium. Its description in RNAcentral is "partial 16S ribosomal RNA". It matches the Rfam family "Bacterial small subunit ribosomal RNA", at positions 338 to 509 of the family's 1533-position model. The record is from RNAcentral.
CCUACGGGAGGCAGCAGUAGGGAAUUUUUCGGCAAUGGGGGAAACCCUGACCGAGCAACGCCGCGUGAGCGAAGAAGGCCUUCGGGUCGUAAAGCUCUGUUGUAAAGGAAGAACGGCGCAUACAGGAAAUGGUAUGCGAGUGACGGUACUUUACCAGAAAGCCACGGCUAACUACGUGCC